Molecule: non-coding RNA, 32 nt
Filed under: Rattus norvegicus (Norway rat)
Lineage: Eukaryota; Metazoa; Chordata; Mammalia; Rodentia; Muridae
Source: RNAcentral
UGAGCUCCUAUGUCUCAGGAUACCCUUCCUUU